Molecule: ribosomal RNA, 303 nt
Filed under: uncultured bacterium
Lineage: Bacteria
Description: partial 16S ribosomal RNA
Rfam family: Bacterial small subunit ribosomal RNA
Source: RNAcentral
AGCAGUAGCCGCGGUAAUACGAGGGGGGCAAGCGUUGUUCGGAAUUAUUGGGCGUAAAGGGUGCGUAGGCGGUUUGACAAGUCAUCUGUGAAAUCUAUGGGCUCAACCCAUAGUCUGCAGGCGAAACUGUCGGGCUAGAGUAUGGGAGAGGUGAGUGGAAUUUCCGGUGUAGCGGUGAAAUGCGUAGAUAUCGGAAGGAACACCUGUGGCGAAAGCGGCUCACUGGACCAUAACUGACGCUGAGGCACGAAAGCUAGGGGAGCAAACAGGAUUAGAUACCCGCGUAGUCCCUGUCUCUUAUAA